RNAcentral lists this ribosomal RNA (506 nucleotides) under Clostridioides difficile. RNAcentral's name for it is "bacterial SSU rRNA". It matches the Rfam family "Bacterial small subunit ribosomal RNA", at positions 313 to 841 of the family's 1533-position model. Lineage: Bacteria; Bacillati; Bacillota; Clostridia; Peptostreptococcales; Peptostreptococcaceae. The record is from RNAcentral.
UUGGAACUGAGACACGGUCCAAACUCCUACGGGAGGCAGCAGUGGGGAAUAUUGCACAAUGGGCGAAAGCCUGAUGCAGCAACGCCGCGUGAGUGAUGAAGGCCUUCGGGUCGUAAAACUCUGUCCUCAAGGAAGAUAAUGACGGUACUUGAGGAGGAAGCCCCGGCUAACUACGUGCCAGCAGCCGCGGUAAUACGUAGGGGGCUAGCGUUAUCCGGAUUUACUGGGCGUAAAGGGUGCGUAGGCGGUCUUUCAAGUCAGGAGUGAAAGGCUACGGCUCAACCGUAGUAAGCUCUUGAAACUGGGAGACUUGAGUGCAGGAGAGGAGAGUGGAAUUCCUAGUGUAGCGGUGAAAUGCGUAGAUAUUAGGAGGAACACCAGUUGCGAAGGCGGCUCUCUGGACUGUAACUGACGCUGAGGCACGAAAGCGUGGGGAGCAAACAGGAUUAGAUACCCUGGUAGUCCACGCUGUAAACGAUGAGUACUAGGUGUCGGGGGUUACCCCC